GGUCCCAAAGGAGGCAUUGAAGCCAGUUGAUGACAGAAAGGUCGGGAAGAGAAAGGCUGCCACUAAGGCAAAUAAGGGUGGCAAAAGUCAAGCCAAGAAGGGAAAGUUGGCUAAGAAAGACCCCAACAAGCCUAAGAGGCCUCCCAGUGCCUUGUUUGUAUUUCUCGAGGAGUUCAGAAAGACCUUCA
Molecule: non-coding RNA, 188 nt
Organism: Camellia sinensis
Lineage: Eukaryota; Viridiplantae; Streptophyta; Magnoliopsida; Ericales; Theaceae
Source: RefSeq, a predicted model, not a curated record